This is a long non-coding RNA of Phlebotomus papatasi, 1606 nucleotides long. RefSeq lists it as uncharacterized. The transcript is spliced from 3 exons. Lineage: Eukaryota; Metazoa; Arthropoda; Insecta; Diptera; Psychodidae. The record is from RefSeq and is a predicted model, not a curated record.
UGAGCAAGAAUUCGUCGUAUUUGAACAAACGUCAAAUGAUAUUUUUUCCCAAUUCGAAACGACUGUUUUUACACUGUAAUUCGUUCGGGACAAAUAAAUACACAAGUUUGCAGAAAAAAAUGUAUAAAUAUGAUAAAAUUUAACUAUUUGUUCAUUAUUCUUAAGUUUUUUAAUCAAAAACUUCACGAGUAGUGCGUGAAAUAGUGAAAAUGAGAAAUAAAGAACAAUUUUUCCCUCCCGGACACAAAGCAUGUCAUUGUGAGGUUAUGUUUCAUUGUUUACAUUCAAGAAAUUGUUUUGUUGUAAAAAUAUCAGCUAAAAUAGCCGUUUUCAGAAUUAUUAGUGAUAUUUAUUAAAAUAUUUGUGGUGAAAAGUUAUCACAGGGCAAGAUUUAGUUAAAAACGACUGAAAUCAAGUGCCCUGUGAUGUGUGUAAAAGUGUUUUGAUGAUGAUUUCUGGGCAGAGUUUUUGAACAAAAAUCACCAGAAUACAUCAAUAAAGUACGUCCGCGAAACUAACAAAAAGAGUAUUAAGUGAAAAUAUACUAUUUGAAAGCUCCUGGACAUAUUGUUGGUUAAUUUUGAGUGCUCAUCUGAGUGCAAAUACAGUCCGGAGAGCUUCAAAUUUGAUACUGAAAUGAGCUUCCGGAAGGAGUUUUUAUAAAGAGCCAGAGACGGAGGAAAUUUCAGAUAGGCCACAGAAGAUGUUCCCAUUAAAUUAACAAGACAGGAAAGAAGUAACGAUGACUCUGGUUUAGUCGCGUUAGUACCACAGGAGUCGAAAUCAUCGUCGCCGUUGAAGACGUCCGGAAGGAGGAAAUUCAGCACAGAAGUGUCUGAAUUCGUGGAAAUUAUUCUGCAGGGAUGUUCCGGUGAGAAGGAGGCGACUGAUUGUCUUCAAUUUUUGGAGGAUUUUGGAAAAUUUGUACCCUCCACUCUUAAUUACGUAAGCGUCAUCAAACGUGGUGUAUUUCUUGUUGGACUUCUCACUCGAAGAGACUUCUCAUGGAUGUACAUCUCGUAGAACAGAACCUCCAAGAUAAAAGUUUGACGAAUGUCUUUUGGAUUUGAUUAGAUCAGCAUUAAUUCUGGCUAAGAUGGUAAACAGUAUCUUUGAGGUCAUACUAUAGUUUGCCUCCCCGGUUGGGCUGCUGCCUUAUCUAAUGGCCUGUACAGACAAAUGAAGGAUCGCAGUAUUUCCUGUGAGUUUUUGAUAUUGGGAUUGAAUAUAAUUCCUCUGCACUCACCCCGCAGUAGAAAAUGCAUCAUAUAUAAUAUAUUAGCAUCCCGAAUUCAAAUGUUACAACGAUUGGAACUUACACACGUCGAAUAGAACAACAUUCAAUCAAUAAAAAAAUAAAUAAGUUUUUUUUCUUGAUAAAUGUUAGUAACUGUGUCCUGUUAUGGAAAAAAUUUAUCUUUAAAAUUAUACAAAUUAAUAUAUACAACUUAAUUUCAUGGCAAAAGAACUAUUGUAAUCAAGUAGGAAACUAAAAAAUACAUUCAAUUCUCAGAUUAUUUUGAAUACAUUUUUAAUAAAGUUUUUAAUAUAUUUUUUAAUUUACUGAGACAUUUAAUCGUUGCUUUCAACUAAAAAUGGAUACUAA